RNAcentral lists this non-coding RNA (28 nucleotides) under Cricetulus griseus (Chinese hamster). The record is from RNAcentral. Lineage: Eukaryota; Metazoa; Chordata; Mammalia; Rodentia; Cricetidae.
AAAUGAUGUGGAAUCGGUUUUUGUUAGA